GCUUAAAUGACCUAUCCGGAUCUUAAUUGUCUGAACUUAUAUGUUUCUCUUCUACACGAAAGAAACGCCAUGUAACAAGCUCUGACGGCUUUAGCUUGUGGUAUCUCUCAGUCCACACCCGUUUCACCAUCUAUAGGACCUGGCGGACGUCGCCUUGGGAAAAAUUCCUCUUCCCUGGGAAACAUCGACACUCGCGCUCGAGCCAUGCGCGAUCCCAGGUUACGGCUGCGACUCUGGCGAGGGGGGACUUGCUUAGCGAAGGGUCUUUGAGGCAUCGUACAACGUCAAGGCCACCCAGUUUCCCGUGAAUCCCUCUGCAACUCAAUUGCUCAACCAUUACCGUACUUGGUCUUGCUCAUAUUUUCGUUACUCACCUCAUGGUCCCAUACGGCCAAUAUUGUGGUAUAUUACUGUAUAUAGACCACCGGACCUCGUCAAAACCAGAAGGGCAUGCACGGCAGAUACUUGAUCUUUUGGCUAUAGCAUAGUUUCACCAGUCUUGCUGGACGGGCUACUCGAAUCAAGGCUCUACAAGCACUCUGUGCAAUUUUCUGGUUUGGUCAGAGAAUGCUUUGCCUAUGAGAUGUCAAGGGAAGUGGCUCUAAGAUCUCAAGACAGAUUGGGCUAGGUGAGAUACAGACUUUUACCGGUGAACUGCAUAUUCAAUUUACAUUAUGAACCCUUCCCUAAACAUUAAUAUGGUUUAGUCUCUAUCACGGGAACAAGACAAGUUGUCUCCAUGUAUGUUCUGCUCAAGUCAAUGCAGUCUCGAUCCGACAUCCCAUAAGUGCAAUCCCAACCAGCUGUACCCUGUGCCCUACUUCGUCAACGUUUCGCGCUUCCGCUUCAACGCUUGAAGAAGAUCAUACAAUCCGAGAUUGAUCCUGAGGACACUACGAAGUAUCAGAAUAUAGACAUCUCAUAAUAUGGAUAUCAUUCAAAAGUCUUUAUCCUAGCGAUAAUGAGUUGACCCUCCAGAGUCCAUAUAAGGGGACAAGUCACG
Molecule: small RNA, 1003 nt
Filed under: Cryptococcus neoformans H99
Lineage: Eukaryota; Fungi; Basidiomycota; Tremellomycetes; Tremellales; Cryptococcaceae
Description: Cryptococcus neoformans var. grubii H99 hypothetical RNA
Source: RNAcentral